Small nucleolar RNA from Coffea eugenioides, 158 nucleotides. RefSeq annotates it as small nucleolar RNA snoR145. The record is from RefSeq and is a predicted model, not a curated record. The transcript has a single exon. NCBI's taxonomy places the organism in Eukaryota, Viridiplantae, Streptophyta, Magnoliopsida, Gentianales, Rubiaceae.
UGGUGAAGGUCCCAGCAGAGGGGUGAAGAACUCUGGAAAUUGAGGCCUCUCUAACAAUUUAAUGCAAAACCUUCGUAAAUUCACUUAUUCGGCCGAAUCGUAGGAUGCCCCAAAUUAUUCUUUGUUUUGGUGCUUCUGGAACCCUCGGCUAAAUACAA